This 471-nucleotide ribosomal RNA is filed under the name uncultured bacterium. RNAcentral describes it as "bacterial SSU rRNA". It matches the Rfam family "Bacterial small subunit ribosomal RNA", at positions 335 to 799 of the family's 1533-position model. The record is from RNAcentral.
ACUCCUACGGGAGGCAGCAGUGGGGAAUAUUGCACAAUGGGCGCAAGCCUGAUGCAGCCAUGCCGCGUGUAUGAAGAAGGCCUUCGGGUUGUAAAGUACUUUCAGCAGUGAGGAAGGUGGUGCAGUUAAUAGCUGUAUCAUUUGACGUUAGCUGCAGAAGAAGCACCGGCUAACUCCGUGCCAGCAGCCGCGGUAAUACGGAGGGUGCGAGCGUUAAUCGGAAUUACUGGCGUAAAGCGCAUGCAGGUGGUUUGUUAAGUCAGAUGUGAAAGCCCGGGGCUCAACCUCGGAAUUGCAUUUGAAACUGGCAGACUAGAGUACUGUAGAGGGGGUAGAAUUUCAGGUGUAGCGGUGAAAUGCGUAGAGAUCUGAAGGAAUACCGGUGGCGAAGGCGGCCCCCUGGACAGAUACUGACACUCAGAUGCGAAAGCGUGGGGAGCAAACAGGAUUAGAUACCCUGGGAACACAGAG